This 637-nucleotide ribosomal RNA is filed under the name Bacillus pumilus. RNAcentral's name for it is "bacterial SSU rRNA". It matches the Rfam family "Bacterial small subunit ribosomal RNA", at positions 66 to 688 of the family's 1533-position model. Lineage: Bacteria; Bacillati; Bacillota; Bacilli; Caryophanales; Bacillaceae. The record is from RNAcentral.
GCGGACAGAAGGGAGCUUGCUCCCGGAUGUUAGCGGCGGACGGGUGAGUAACACGUGGGUAACCUGCCUGUAAGACUGGGAUAACUCCGGGAAACCGGAGCUAAUACCGGAUAGUUCCUUGAACCGCAUGGUUCAAGGAUGAAAGACGGUUUCGGCUGUCACUUACAGAUGGACCCGCGGCGCAUUAGCUAGUUGGUGAGGUAACGGCUCACCAAGGCGACGAUGCGUAGCCGACCUGAGAGGGUGAUCGGCCACACUGGGACUGAGACACGGCCCAGACUCCUACGGGAGGCAGCAGUAGGGAAUCUUCCGCAAUGGACGAAAGUCUGACGGAGCAACGCCGCGUGAGUGAUGAAGGUUUUCGGAUCGUAAAGCUCUGUUGUUAGGGAAGAACAAGUGCAAGAGUAACUGCUUGCACCUUGACGGUACCUAACCAGAAAGCCACGGCUAACUACGUGCCAGCAGCCGCGGUAAUACGUAGGUGGCAAGCGUUGUCCGGAAUUAUUGGGCGUAAAGGGCUCGCAGGCGGUUUCUUAAGUCUGAUGUGAAAGCCCCCGGCUCAACCGGGGAGGGUCAUUGGAAACUGGGAAACUUGAGUGCAGAAGAGGAGAGUGACUCCACGUGUAGCGGUGAAAUG